UACGGGGGGGGGUAAGCGUUGUUCGGAAUUACUGGGCGUAAAGGGCUCGUAGGCGGCCAACUAAGUCAGACGUGAAAUCCCUCAGCUUAACUGGGGAACUGCGUCUGAUACUGGAUGGCUUGGAUUCGGGAGAGGAAUGCGGAAUUCCAGGUGUAGCGGUGAAAUGCGUAGAUAUCUGGAGGAACACCGGUGGCGAAGGCGGCAUUCUGGACCGACAUUGACGCUGAGGAGCGAAAGCCAGGGGAGCAAAGCGGG
This 255-nucleotide ribosomal RNA is filed under the name uncultured bacterium. RNAcentral's name for it is "partial 16S ribosomal RNA". It matches the Rfam family "Bacterial small subunit ribosomal RNA", at positions 524 to 777 of the family's 1533-position model. The record is from RNAcentral.